This 190-nucleotide ribosomal RNA is filed under the name uncultured bacterium. Its description in RNAcentral is "partial 16S ribosomal RNA". It matches the Rfam family "Bacterial small subunit ribosomal RNA", at positions 1311 to 1500 of the family's 1533-position model. The record is from RNAcentral.
CCCGACUACAUGAAGCUGGAAUCGCUAGUAAUCGCGAAUCAGAAUGUCGCGGUGAAUACGUUCCCGGGUCUUGUACACACCGCCCGUCACACCAUGGGAGUCGGAUAUGCCCGAAGCCGGUGACCUAACCGCAAGGAAGGAGCCGUCGAAGGUGGAGCCGAUGACUGGGGUGAAGUCGUAACAAGGUAGC